CCAUUUACAGGACAGUUCUGUGCCCUUCCUCAGGAGGUCCCAUUCCUUCCUUCUUUUGGUCAGUUCUGAGUGUCAGCUGUCUACUGGGGAUCUGCUAAGGCUAAGAGGCAAAGAUAGGCAAGUCACUCCCCUGACCUCAAGAAACUCCCAGUCUACAGGCGAAGAUACACCACCCACUGGUAGAGUCGCUGGACCAGAAUAUUAGGUCUUCCAGUCAAAGUCACCCAGAUUUGCCAAAAGACCUGGCACAAAUGUCACUUCCACUAUGAAGUCCCACUGACUUCCAUAUACAAGACAAUCUGCUGGGAAUUUCUUGGGUUGACAGCUCUUGGAUCCCUAUUUUGAACAGUGGUAGUGUCCUGGAUUACUUUUCAGAAAGAAGUAAUCCUUUUUAUGACAGAACAUGUAAUAAUGAAGUGGUCAAAAUGCAGAGGCUAACAUUAGAACACUUGAAUCAGAUGGUUGGAAUCGAAUACAUCCUUUUGCAUGCUCAAGAGCCCAUUCUUUUCAUCAUUCGGAAGCAACAGCGGCAGUCCCCUGCCCAAGUUAUCCCACUAGCUGAUUACUAUAUCAUUGCUGGAGUGAUCUAUCAGGCACCAGACUUGGGAUCA
This 611-nucleotide long non-coding RNA is filed under the name Pongo abelii (Sumatran orangutan). RNAcentral's name for it is "lincRNA". The record is from RNAcentral. Lineage: Eukaryota; Metazoa; Chordata; Mammalia; Primates; Hominidae.